CAAAUUUCACCUCCAUCACUAUCCACAUCUGCCUAUCUCCUUUGUUGCCUCAGGUGCUCCCUCUCCUAAGAAACUCACCAAGCUAAAUUCUGGGUCUCUAAUCUGCUUGCAUUGUGAAGAUGAACAAGUGUUUGAAUGUUUUUGGCAUUAACAAAUUUCAGAACAACAAACUGAUGAACUGGUACACUGUGGUAAUAUCUACAUUUUGCUACCCCUUGUACACUGCACGCCAUGGAUGCAUGUAUUCUUUCAGUGUGAGCUUGUAGGUAUAUGACAUGUUGUUGCUAUAAAUAUGUCUUGCGCCUUAAUUCUUGCAGAUUGAAUAGUAGAAGGUAGUCAAAGGCAAGAAUUGUGCAACCGACUCUUAUGCAUAAAAAUGUUAGCAUUAUAACUGGCUUCCAUUGCAACCUUGAUCAACAUGAAGUUCUUCCUUUACAACGUGUUGAUAGCAGGAGCCAAUUGAUUGCAAGACCAGGAGGAUUCUUAUUUGGAUGGAAGGGUCAUUUUGGUGACAUUGUAUGGUUAUGUAUCACAAUCAAGGGGAUUUGUAAACAUGUUUCGUUCAUAUGAAAUUUCGAGGUCUUGAAAUUGAUUAGUGAUCUUUUUUGGA
Long non-coding RNA from Lolium rigidum, 610 nucleotides. RefSeq lists it as uncharacterized. The transcript has 3 exons. Lineage: Eukaryota; Viridiplantae; Streptophyta; Magnoliopsida; Poales; Poaceae. The record is from RefSeq and is a predicted model, not a curated record.